CCUACGGGAGGCAGCAGUGAGGAAUAUUGGUCAAUGGACGAGAGUCUGAACCAGCCAAGUAGCGUGAAGGAUGACUGCCCUAUGGGUUGUAAACUUCUUUUAUAAAGGAAUAAAACGAGGCACGUGUGCCUUUUUGUAUUUACUUUAUGAAUAAGGAUCGGCUAACUCCGUGCCAGCAGCCGCGGUAAUACGGAGGAUCCGAGCGUUAUCCGGAUUUAUUGGGUUUAAAGGGAGCGUAGAUGGGUUGUUAAGUCAGUUGUGAAAGUUUGCGGCUCAACCGUAAAAUUGCAAUUGAUACUGGCAGUCUUGAGUACAGUUGAGGUAGGCGGAAUUCGUGGUGUAGCGGUGAAAUGCUUAGAUAUCACGAAGAACCCCGAUUGCGAAGGCAGCUUACUAAGCUGUGACUGACAUUGAUGCUCGAAAGUGUGGGUAUCAAACAGGAUUAGAUACCCUUGUAGUC
This 460-nucleotide ribosomal RNA is filed under the name uncultured bacterium. RNAcentral describes it as "partial 16S ribosomal RNA". It matches the Rfam family "Bacterial small subunit ribosomal RNA", at positions 338 to 795 of the family's 1533-position model. The record is from RNAcentral.